RNAcentral lists this transfer RNA (72 nucleotides) under Heterocephalus glaber (naked mole-rat). It matches the Rfam family "tRNA". Rfam says of the family: Transfer RNA (tRNA) molecules are approximately 80 nucleotides in length. Lineage: Eukaryota; Metazoa; Chordata; Mammalia; Rodentia; Bathyergidae. The record is from Rfam by way of RNAcentral.
GGAGGUGUGGCUCAGUGGUAGAGCACAUGCUUAGCAUGUGUGAUGCCCUGGGUUCCACCCCUAGCACCCCCC